CUGCGGGCCACGCCUCCCCAACGAGGUGCUAUCAUUCUGGAAGGAAUGAACCG
Alphaproteobacteria bacterium 64-11 is the source of this 53-nucleotide non-coding RNA. The record is from Rfam. Lineage: Bacteria; Pseudomonadati; Pseudomonadota; Alphaproteobacteria.